CAAGUCGCACGAGAAAGUGGAGCAAUCCAUGAGUAAAGUGGCGAAUGGGUGAGUAACACGUGACUACCUGCCCUCGAGUGGGGAAUAACCUCGGGAAACCGGGGCUAAUACCGCAUAACAUCGAGAGAUCAAAGCAGCAAUGCGCUUGAGGAGGGGGUCGCGUCUGAUUAGCUAGUUGGUAGGGUAACGGCCUACCAAGGCGAUGAUCAGUANCCGGCCUGAGAGGGCGCACGGCCACACUGGAACUGAAACACGGUCCAGACUCCUACGGGAGGCAGCAGUGGGGAAUUUUGCGCAAUGGGGGAAACCCUGACGCAGCAACGCCGCGUGGAGGAUGAAGUCCCUUGGGACGUAAACUCCUUUCGAUCGGGACGAUUAUGACGGUACCGGAAGAAGAAGCCCCGGCUAACUUCGUGCCAGCAGCCGCGGUAAUACGAGGGGGGCAAGCGUCGUUCGGAAUUAUUGGGCGUAAAGGGCGCGUAGGCGGUGCGGUAAGUCUGAUGUGAAACCUCCGGGCUCAACUCGGAGCCUGCAU
This 535-nucleotide ribosomal RNA is filed under the name uncultured bacterium. RNAcentral describes it as "bacterial SSU rRNA". It matches the Rfam family "Bacterial small subunit ribosomal RNA", at positions 58 to 626 of the family's 1533-position model. The record is from RNAcentral.